RNAcentral lists this ribosomal RNA (1207 nucleotides) under metagenome. RNAcentral describes it as "bacterial SSU rRNA". It matches the Rfam family "Bacterial small subunit ribosomal RNA", at positions 36 to 1240 of the family's 1533-position model. The record is from RNAcentral.
CUGGCGGUAUGCUUAACACAUGCAAGUCGAACGGUAGCAGGCCUUCGGGCGCUGACGAGUGGCGGACGGGUGAGUAACGCGUAGGAAUCUGCCUCAUAGUGGGGGACAACGUGUGGAAACGCACGCUAAUACCGCAUACGCCCUACGGGGGAAAGCGGGGGCUCUUCGGACCUCGCGCUAUGAGAUGAGCCUGCGUUAGAUUAGCUAGUUGGUAGGGUAAAGGCCUACCAAGGCGACGAUCUAUAGCUGGUCUGAGAGGACGAUCAGCCACACUGGGACUGAGACACGGCCCAGACUCCUACGGGAGGCAGCAGUGGGGAAUAUUGGACAAUGGGCGCAAGCCUGAUCCAGCAAUACCGCGUGUAUGAAGAAGGCCCUAGGGUUGUAAAGCACUUUCAAUAGGGAGGAAAACCUGCCGGUCAAUACCCGGUAGCUUGACAUUACCUAUAGAAGAAGCACCGGCUAACUCCGUGCCAGCAGCCGCGGUAAUACGGAGGGUGCAAGCGUUAAUCGGAAUUACUGGGCGUAAAGCGUGCGUAGGCGGCUCGUUAAGUCAGAUGUGAAAGCCCCGGGCUCAACCUGGGAACUGCAUUUGAAACUGGCGAGCUAGAGUUGAGUAGAGGUAAGUGGAAUUUCAGGUGUAGCGGUGAAAUGCGUAGAUAUCUGAAGGAACACCAGUGGCGAAGGCGACUUACUGGACUCAAACUGACGCUGAGGUACGAAAGCGUGGGUAGCAAACAGGAUUAGAUACCCUGGUAGUCCACGCCGUAAACGAUGUCAACUAGCCGUUGGUCCUAUAUACAGGAUUAGUGGCGCAGCUAACGCAUUAAGUUGACCGCCUGGGGAGUACGGCCGCAAGGUUAAAACUCAAAUGAAUUGACGGGGGCCCGCACAAGCGGUGGAGCAUGUGGUUUAAUUCGAUGCAACGCGAAGAACCUUACCUACCCUUGACAUCCAGAGAAUCUGUUAGAGAUAGUAGAGUGCCUUCGGGAGCUCUGAGACAGGUGCUGCAUGGCUGUCGUCAACUCGUGUCGUGAGAUGUUGGGUUAAGUCCCGUAACGAGCGCAGCCCUUAUCCUUAGUUGCCAGCGCGUCAAGGCGGGAACUCUAGGGAGACUGCCGGUGAUAAACCGGAGGGAGGUGGGGACGACGUCAAGUCAUCAUGGCCCUUAUGGGUAGGGCUACACACGUGCUACAAUGGCCGGUAC